UUAGGACGUGGAUACCCCCGAGAAAUUGGGGUUAAUCCGCGAUAGGUGUAAUGUCCUGGAAUGGUAUUACGCCUAAAGGUGUAUCAUACAUGUUUGAUAUACGCCUAAGGAUGGGGCUGCGGCCGAUCAGGCUGUUGGUGAGGUAAUGGCUCACCAAACCUUUGACCGGUACGGGCCAUGAGAGUGGUAGCCCGGAGAUGGACACUGAGACAAGGGUCCAGGCCCUAAGGGGCGCAGCAACCGCGAAACCUCCACAAUGCACUCACGUGCGAUGGGGCUAUCUCGAGUGCCACCUGAUGAAGGUGGCUUUUCCUAGGUCUUCAAAGCCUUGGGAAUAAGAGGGGGGCAAGACUGGUGUCAGCCGCCGCGGUAACACCAGCCCCUCGAGUGGUGGGGAUGAUUAUUUGGCCUAAAGCGUCCGUAGCCGGCCGAGCAAGUCUUCCGUUAAAUCCAGCGUCUCAAGCGUUGGACUGCGGGAGAUACUACACGGCUAGAGAGUGGGAGAGGUCAGCGGUAUUCUGGGGGUAGGGGCGAAAUCCUUUGAUCCCCGGAGGACCACCAGUGGCGAAGGCUGCUGACUAGAACACGUCUGACGGUCAGGGACGAAAGCUGGGGUAGCGAACCGGAUUAGAUACCCGGGUAGUCCCAGCCGUAAACGAUGCAUGCUAGGUGUUGGGUUGGCCACGAGCCACCCCAGUGCCGCAGGGAAGCCGUUAAGCAUGCCGCCUGGGAAGUACGAUCGCAAGAUUGAAACUUAAAGGAAUUGGCGGGGGAGCACCACCAGGCGUGAAGCCUGCGGUUUAAUUGGAGUCAACGCCGGG
Molecule: ribosomal RNA, 821 nt
Filed under: uncultured archaeon
Lineage: Archaea
Description: bacterial SSU rRNA
Rfam family: Archaeal small subunit ribosomal RNA
Source: RNAcentral